CGGCGUGCCUAACACAUGCAAGUCGAACGUUCUCUCGCUCUUCGGAGUGAGAGGGAGUGGCGGACGGGUGAGUAACACAUAGGUGACCUCUCUUUCAGUGAGGAAUACCGGCGAGAAAUCGCCGACAAUUCCGCAUGCGUUCCUUCCACCACGGAAGGAAGAAAGUCCUUCGGGACGCUGGAAGCUGGGCCUGUGGCCGAUUAGCUAGUUGGUGGGGUAAAAGCCUACCAAGGCGACGAUCGGUAGCUGGUCUGAGAGGACGGACAGCCACACUGGGAUUGAGAACGGCCCAGACUCCUACGGGGGGCAGCAGUGAGGAAUUUUCCGCAAUGGGCGCAAGCCUGACGGAGCAACGCCGCGUGCAGGAGGACGGCCUUCGGGUUGUAAACUGCUUUUCGCAAGGACGAGCAAGGGCGGUACUUGCGGAAUCAGCCCCGGCUAACUACGUGCCAGCAGCCGCGGUAAUACGUAGGGGGCAAGCGUUGUCCGGAGUUACUGGGCGUAAAGCGCACGCAGGCGGUCGUGCAAGUUUGGGGUGACAGCUUCCGGCUUCACUGGAAGAGGACCUCGAAGACUGUGCGACUUGAGGGGUUCAGAGGGACCGAGAAUUCCGGGUGGAGUGGUGAAAUGCGUAGAUAUCCGGAGGAAUACCCAAGGCGAAGGCAUGGUCCUGGGAACCAUCUGACGCUCAGGUGCGAAAGCGAGGGGGGCGAACGGGAUUAGAUACCCCGGUAGUCCUCGCCGUAAACGAUGACCACUAGGCGUGGGAGGUAUCGACCCCUUCCGUGUCGGCGUUAACACACUAAGUGGUCCGCCUGGGGAGUACGGUCGCAAGAUUAAAACUCAAAGGAAUUGACGGGGACCCGCACAAGCAGCGGAGCGUGUGGUUUAAUUCGAAGCAACGCGCAGAACCUUACCAGGGCUAGAAAUCCUACUGCACGCCUAGCGAAAGCUAGGAAGCCUUCGAGGGUGUAGGACAGGUGAUGCAUGGCUGUCGUCAAUUCGUGGUUUGAAUCGUUCCCUUCAGUGGGGUAACGAACGCAACCCUCGUUGCCUGUUACACGUAUCAGGCGAGACUGCCCCCUCACGGGGGAGGAAGGUGGGGAUGACGCCAAGUCAGCAUGUCCCUCUGAUGUCCUGGGCUGCACACGCGCUACAAUCGCCGUUACAAAAGGGCGCGACGGGGUAACCCUGAGCAAAUCCUCUAAAAGCGGCGCCAGUUCGGAUUGAGGUCUGCAACCCGACCUCAUGAAGCCGGAAUCGCUAGUAAUCGUGGGUCAGCCAUACCACGGUGAAUACGUUCUCAAGCUUUGUACUCACCGCCCGUCAAGUCAGGGAAGUUGGGAGUGCCCAAAGCCG
RNAcentral lists this ribosomal RNA (1359 nucleotides) under uncultured bacterium. RNAcentral describes it as "bacterial SSU rRNA". It matches the Rfam family "Bacterial small subunit ribosomal RNA". The record is from RNAcentral.